Molecule: ribosomal RNA, 627 nt
Filed under: uncultured Faecalibacterium sp.
Lineage: Bacteria; Bacillati; Bacillota; Clostridia; Eubacteriales; Oscillospiraceae
Description: bacterial SSU rRNA
Rfam family: Bacterial small subunit ribosomal RNA
Source: RNAcentral
GACGAACGCUGGGGGCGCGCCUAACACAUGCAAGUCGAACGAGAGAGAAGGAGCUUGCUUCUUCAAUCGAGUGGCGAACGGGUGAGUAACGCGUGAGGAACCUGCCUCAAAGAGGGGGACAACAGUUGGAAACGACUGCUAAUACCGCAUAAGCCCACGGGUCGGCAUCGACCAGAGGGAAAAGGAGUGAUCCGCUUUGAGAUGGCCUCGCGUCCGAUUAGCUAGUUGGUGAGGUAACGGCCCACCAAGGCGACGAUCGGUAGCCGGACUGAGAGGUUGAACGGCCACAUUGGGACUGAGACACGGCCCAGACUCCUACGGGAGGCAGCAGUGGGGAAUAUUGCACAAUGGGGGAAACCCUGAUGCAGCGACGCCGCGUGGAGGAAGAAGGUCUUCGGAUUGUAAACUCCUGUUGUUGAGGAAGAUAAUGACGGUACUCAACAAGGAAGUGACGGCUAACUACGUGCCAGCAGCCGCGGUAAAACGUAGGUCACAAGCGUUGUCCGGAAUUACUGGGUGUAAAGGGAGCGCAGGCGGGAAGACAAGUUGGAAGUGAAAUCCAUGGGCUCAACCCAUGAACUGCUUUCAAAACUGUUUUUCUUGAGUAGUGCAGAGGUAGGCGGAAUU